GGACCCGCACAAGCGGUGGAGCAUGUGGUUUAAUUCGAAGCAACGCGAAGAACCUUACCAGGUCUUGACAUCCUUUGACCACUCUAGAGAUAGAGCUUUCCCUUCGGGGACAAAGUGACAGGUGGUGCAUGGUUGUCGUCAGCUCGUGUCGUGAGAUGUUGGGUUAAGUCCCGCAACGAGCGCAACCCUUAUUACUAGUUGCCAGCAUUUAGUUGGGCACUCUAGUGAGACUGCCGGUGACAAACCGGAGGAAGGUGGGGAUGACGUCAAAUCAUCAUGCCCCUUAUGACCUGGGCUACACACGUGCUACAAUGGAUGGUACAACGAGUCGCAAGGUCGCGAGGCCAAGCUAAUCUCUUAAAGCUAUUCUCAGUUCGGAUUGUAGGCUGCAACUCGUCUACAUGAAGCCGGAAUC
Molecule: ribosomal RNA, 415 nt
Filed under: uncultured bacterium
Lineage: Bacteria
Description: bacterial SSU rRNA
Rfam family: Bacterial small subunit ribosomal RNA
Source: RNAcentral